UUGACAGCACUGAAGACCAAAGUCCUUUAUUUAUGCAUGAGCAGCAACAGUGCAAGCUUUCCCACACUGCCCUGCCAAUAUGCUUCACCCUUGACCUAAAGGAACCCCCUCUAGGGGUGAAAGCUUAGUAGUCUUCAUAGCCAUUCAAUCUUUGGGCUCG
RNAcentral lists this small RNA (160 nucleotides) under Crocodylus porosus (Australian saltwater crocodile). Its description in RNAcentral is "TUC338 (ENSCPRG00005005533.1)". Lineage: Eukaryota; Metazoa; Chordata; Crocodylia; Crocodylidae. The record is from RNAcentral.